RNAcentral lists this ribosomal RNA (1402 nucleotides) under metagenome. RNAcentral's name for it is "bacterial LSU rRNA". It matches the Rfam family "Bacterial large subunit ribosomal RNA", at positions 1544 to 2925 of the family's 2925-position model. The record is from RNAcentral.
GGGAUCUUAAGGCCGAGAGCUGAUGACGAGUGUCCUUUAGGACACGAAGUGGUUGAUGCCAUGCUUCCAAGAAAAGCUUCUAAGCUUCAGGUAACCAGGAACCGUACCCCAAACCGACACAGGUGGUUGGGUAGAGAAUACCAAGGCGCUUGAGAGAACUCGGGUGAAGGAACUAGGCAAAAUGGCACCGUAACUUCGGGAGAAGGUGCGCCGGUGAGGGUGAAGCAUUUACUGCGUAAGCCCACGCCGGUCGAAGAUACCAGGCCGCUGCGACUGUUUAUUAAAAACACAGCACCCUGCAAACACGAAAGUGGACGUAUAGGGUGUGACGCCUGCCCGGUGCCGGAAGGUUAAUUGAUGGGGUUAGCUAACGCGAAGCUCUUGAUCGAAGCCCCGGUAAACGGCGGCCGUAACUAUAACGGUCCUAAGGUAGCGAAAUUCCUUGUCGGGUAAGUUCCGACCUGCACGAAUGGCGUAACGAUGGCGGCGCUGUCUCCACCCGAGACUCAGUGAAAUUGAAAUCGCUGUGAAGAUGCAGUGUAUCCGCGGCUAGACGGAAAGACCCCGUGAACCUUUACUAUAGCUUUGCACUGGACUUUGAAUUUGCUUGUGUAGGAUAGGUGGGAGGCUUUGAAGCGUGGACGCCAGUCUGCGUGGAGCCAACCUUGAAAUACCACCCUGGCAACUUUGAGGUUCUAACUCAGGUCCGUUAUCCGGAUCGAGGACAGUGUAUGGUGGGUAGUUUGACUGGGGCGGUCUCCUCCUAAAGAGUAACGGAGGAGUACGAAGGUGCGCUCAGACCGGUCGGAAAUCGGUCGUAGAGUAUAAAGGCAAAAGCGCGCUUGACUGCGAGACAGACACGUCGAGCAGGUACGAAAGUAGGUCUUAGUGAUCCGGUGGUUCUGUAUGGAAGGGCCAUCGCUCAACGGAUAAAAGGUACUCCGGGGAUAACAGGCUGAUACCGCCCAAGAGUUCAUAUCGACGGCGGUGUUUGGCACCUCGAUGUCGGCUCAUCACAUCCUGGGGCUGAAGCCGGUCCCAAGGGUAUGGCUGUUCGCCAUUUAAAGUGGUACGCGAGCUGGGUUUAGAACGUCGUGAGACAGUUCGGUCCCUAUCUGCCGUGGACGUUUGAGAUUUGAGAGGGGCUGCUCCUAGUACGAGAGGACCGGAGUGGACGAACCUCUGGUGUUCCGGUUGGCACGCCAGUGGCAUUGCCGGGUAGCUAUGUUCGGAAUAGAUAACCGCUGAAAGCAUCUAAGCGGGAAACUAGCCUCAAGAUGAGAUCUCACUGGAACCUUGAGUUCCCUGAAGGGCCGUCGAAGACUACGACGUUGAUAGGUGGGGUGUGUAAGCGCUGUGAGGCGUUGAGCUAACCCAUACUAAUUGCCCGUGAGGCUUGAUC